CACCUCUUCCCAUUCCGAACAGAGAAGUUAAGCCUUGUCACGCCGAUGGUACUGCGUCACAGUGGGAGAGUAGGUAGCCGCCGUUU
Molecule: ribosomal RNA, 86 nt
Filed under: Phocaeicola vulgatus
Lineage: Bacteria; Pseudomonadati; Bacteroidota; Bacteroidia; Bacteroidales; Bacteroidaceae
Source: RNAcentral